CAUUUCUCAAGUAGUAUGAAGUUAGGGGUAAAUUCGUCAUUUCAUGACUUAACACAUUAUUGAUCCGGAUAAACUGACGGUUUUUUAACAGAAGGGGUAUUUAUGAUAAUUUUUUAUAUUUCAAGGGGUAUGCAUGAUAUUUUAACUUUUGUAGGGGUAUCUACGAAAUUUGUAAAUUUUAGAGGGGUAUGGAUGAAAUUGCCCCUAUAUAUAUUUAUAGAGUACGUCUUCGAUACUUUCGAAAGCACGGAUACUUCUGUACUUGUAAGAUAUUUUUGAUGAUAAAAUAUCCAAUUCGACGAUCGGCUCCAUUAGGUAUAAUCUUUUUUAUUGGAACUAUGUAGAAACUAAAUUUUAUAAUUUUUUGACAUUAUUUACCAAGCGAUCAAAAGAUCUCAAAAAUGACUAUUUUAACGGCCGAGGCGGCAUAUUUUUAAGUUCAACGGUGUAGAAGAAUCCAAAUUACAUAAAAAUUUAAUAAAAAAUUUUACUUAACAUCAAUAGCAAGAUCAAUACUUCCGAUUUGAAAUUUGAGUAUUUAUCAUUAUUUUUUAUGAAAUUUUUAUUUUUAGCCAUUCAUUUUGAGGCUACUCAUUCACUAGACAAACGAAGUCAAAAAAUUCCGAAAUUUAGUUUUUAAAUAGUUCCAACAGCAUAGAUCAUUUUUAACAGAACCGAUCGUCGAAUCGGAUGUCCCAUCAUCGAAAAUAACAUAUAAGUACAGAGGCCUUCGUACUUUCGAAAGCAUAGGAGCAUAACUCUCUCUCUCUCUCUCUCUCUCUCUCUCUCUCUCUCUCUCUCUCUCUCUCUCUCUCUCUCCCUCCAUCUCCCUUUUCUUUUCUUGGUUAUAUAUAC
Molecule: long non-coding RNA, 855 nt
Filed under: Ananas comosus (pineapple)
Lineage: Eukaryota; Viridiplantae; Streptophyta; Magnoliopsida; Poales; Bromeliaceae
Description: long non-coding RNA (ACOM_LNC014576)
Source: RNAcentral